UCUCCUUUCCUCAUUCCCACUGUCUACUAAGUAGGGGAAGCUCCCUCCAAAGGUGCCUUCAAGCUUCUUCGCCCUCAUUUUCCUAUCGAAGUGUCCCUCCUAAAAAAGGUGUUUCAAUUUUGCUUCAUCGGAACAUAGGCAAUUCAGCAAACAGAAAUCUGUGAUAUCUAGACCAUGAAUUCCAGGAGGUUGCUCCAAUUGCAAUUUAAAAUUGAGUUUUUGUUUUUUUAAACAUUUGAAUACUUGCUUAUCUGAUCCAGCUGAUCUAGAUUAAGUAAUUGAAUCUCUAUAUGGAUUAAUGUCGAUUGAUUUGCUGUUAAUUUGGAGAAAAACGAUUUUCUGGUUCUAAUUUGAACAUUUUAAUUUUCCCUAGAUUUGUUCUGUUUAGUUGUUAUUAUUACAACAUCCUGAAUUUUAUUUUUAUCUUUUUAUGUUCUGUCUGUCUUAGGCACCUUGGGCUCUUCCACUCUAGAUUCAGCUUAGUUGUUAUUGCUUCAUAUGUUAGUUUUUUUUCUAGUGGAAAUUAAUAAGUUUGUUAAAGUUUGCUUCCUAAUUAUGUUUCAUUAUAUUUUAACUAUCAUUCAUAUGCGAGUUAAUUAAAUGUCAGUCCUCUGUAUUUCAGAGAAGUAUAUUUUACUACUUAAACUAUAUCUAAAUCUGUCUUCACAAAUAUCACAUUGCUAUGUAAAAGUUCAGCUUUCUGAAGUAUCUGUGCUGGACAAAACGCAAUAAUUGGACGCACUGUGUGUGAAUAUAUUUGUUUUUAUUAUUAAUUAAUUACAUUUAAAAGAUUUGCAAAAAGUCAUAUAGUAUACUUAUUUUGGCCAUAUUAAUUCAUGAUUAAGAAUAAGCUGUUGGGUGUCCUAUUUUAUGAUAAGUUAGUGGGUUUAAGAUGAAAAAUAAGCUCAAUCAUUCUGUGUUACAUGGAUUCUUUAUGAGACUAUAUGAUGCAAAAUAAGGUAAUUACGGUGGUGUUGCACCAAUGGACUGCCUGUCUAUUGAAUAUAUUUUUAUGUCGCUAAACUAGAUCAGUUAACCUUUGUAUGUUGGGUGUGGAGUAGAAUAGCUGUAUUCGGCAUGAUAAAGAAGUUGGUCUUCUGACAGUUCUCUUAUAUUAAUUUGAUAUUUUGCUUCCUUAAUUUAUAUGUGUCAGUACUCAUUUCUCAGGUUAUUCACUUUGACUCCAGUUGGUGUUUUUGUGUAUUCUACUCCAAUGUCGUUUUACUUAGUGCCACUAAUUUUGUUUGAUAAGAUAACUGCAUUGUUUGUGUGGGUAUAUAAAGGCCUACACCCAUCCUUAAUAUUUCUAGAAUAUUCCCUUUGACUUACAAAAAGUAUAUACUCUGGAGCAUCCUAGGUUUUGUGAGAAGAUUUGAACUAAUGAAUUUUAGUGUAAUGCAUAUUGGGUUAUAAGACAGGUAUAGUAAAUUAGGUACCAAUAGUGGGUGAGAGAAAGCAAUCUAGUUGAUUUGGAUGAGCUGGAUGAGAGCUUGAGAAUCUCCUUUGUUUGAGCUAAUCGAUUUCUGGUGUAAUUGGCUGCUUGAGCUUGUCAAAGCUGCACAUAUUUUCUUGAGGUUCUAGUUGUGGCUGAUAUGUUUAUGAACCUAGACAAUGUUCUCUAUUGAUUGUUGUAGAAAAUCUACAGUAACUUCAUGAUCAGGUUGGAAAGGAGCUGUCAGUUAUUUGUUGAAUUGGGCAACUGGUGUUAUGCUGUCAUCUACCAUGAAAACUUUCAUGAUAAACCCUUGAGGAUCGAUCUGGUAUUUUAGUUUUCUUUAGAAUUAGAAUAUGAAAUAUGGGCACUCCAUUUUAGAGUUCAUUGGUCUUUGUUAGAUUUAAGCUCUCAUAAAACAUGUCUCUCAUCACUUUGCAAUAAACCAGUUAGUGCCUGGUCCUUAUCAGCUUAUGCAAAAGCUAUGUUUAAUAUAGCGAGUUGCAAUAAGUAUGUUCUUUGUUUCCAUUUUGAUUUCAUAUGUUACUAUCUAUAAGGUUAUGUUUCACUGCCUUCUAUGUCUUCAAGUUUAUCCGGGUAAUUAUCCUGCUAAAGACAUGUAUCAAGAUUCUGGACAACUAAUUCACUGUUUUUUAUUCAUGUUUUAUUGGAUACACAUAGUUUAUCACUACACCUAAGCCCUUGUGGUGUUGUCUGAUACUUGAGACAUUCUAUCCUCAAUGUUCUUUUGAUGAAAAAAAUCAUGAUAGAAGCCCAUCUUCUCAUGAUGUAAUCCCAGACCAAAGCUCUGAUGGCCUUGGCGCAAGGUUAAAGUGUCAUUAUUAGACAGGUCACGUGCCAUGAACUUGUAAUACAAUACCAUUGUAGAUCACAUUAACACAAAUAUGUUUUGCUAAUGGUCUUCAUACAUGCUUUCUUUUUCAUUCUUGUUAUUUGAUUCUUCACUCAUAGUUAUGUCACAGCAAGAGAUAUACAUUGUUCUUCUAGUCACUAAUUGUGUGUUCUAGCAUUUUUCCCUUGUUUCAUAUUUUACAAAAGCAAACCAUCUUCCUGGUUUGGAAAUUCAAUGCAAGUCAACAUUUUCUUAGAUCUGGUAUGUACAUUUUGUAAAUGCUAUGCAUUUCUUGUCAUUCCUGGAAAAGUUAAAAUCACUUCUUAUUGGUGCAGCUGAGAAUAUUUCUGUACCAUGGCUAUAUGGGAUAAUCUGCAUGCAUCUCUCUUGAAUGUGAUCUUCAUCCUUUAACUGUCCAUCCUCUUAUUUUUACUUUAAAUGCCAUUGGGCGUUGUACAUUUUUCUUUACUGAAUUCAUAAUUUUGUGGUGUGUGAUCUUGCCAUCUGGCAAUACUCUAAUUCCUUUGGUCUACAGAGAUGUCCGCAACAAUAGAGCUGCUCUUUUUGAUGGAAUUGAAGAGGGUGGCAUCAGGGCCUCAUCUUCUUAUUCCCAUGAAAUUGAUGAGCAAGAUAAUGAAAGAGCUGUGGAAGGAUUGCAAGAUCGAGUCAAUCUUCUGAAGAGAUUGUCGGGUGAUAUACAUGAGGAGGUGGAGACUCAUAAUCACAUGCUGGACAGAAUGGGCAAUGACAUGGAUUCAUCCAGGGGUGUCCUAUCAGGAACUAUGGAUCGAUUUAAGAUGGUUUUUGAGACGAAAUCAAGCCGGAGAAUGUUUACCCUUGUGGCUUCCUUUGUUGUCAUAUUCCUUAUUGUAUACUAUCUGACAAGGUAAUCAAUAUAAGUUGAUGAUACUGUUGCUAUUGUCAUGUUAGAACCGGAUCCUUUUAUGUGGUUACUGUAAUCAAUGGUACUUCCUGUUUGUGAGAUAUUCAGGCAUGUUUAUAAACUUUAUAUAAAGAUGUUGAAAUAUGUCGUACACUUGUUAAAUGUAUGGAAUGGGCGUAAAAAGUUCUUUGGUCCACUUUUUCACUUAACAUUAGCCUACUAUGCUUUGGCUGCUUAAUCUUCUUAACCAGAUACUCAGCUACGGAGCUCAGUCAAGCUUAUUAAGUUUUGCUGAGAUGAGUCUUAGGUGAAUCAAUAGUUGUCUGGUUUUCAGAAGAAUAUGAAUAAUUGAAUCGAUUUUGAAUUUUGACUUUCUUUGGAAUGCAUCAUAUACAAGAAAAG
This 3570-nucleotide unclassified non-coding RNA is filed under the name Hevea brasiliensis (rubber tree). The record is from RNAcentral. Lineage: Eukaryota; Viridiplantae; Streptophyta; Magnoliopsida; Malpighiales; Euphorbiaceae.